UACGUAGGGUGCAAGCGUUCCUCGGAAUUACUGGGCGUAAAGCGUGCGCAGGCGGUUUUGUAAGUCUGUCGUGAAAUCCCCGGGCUCAACCUGGGAAUUGCGAUGGAGACUGCAAGGCUAGAAUCUGGCAGAGGGGGGUAGAAUUCCACGUGUAGCAGUGAAAUGCGUAGAGAUGUGGAGGAACACCGAUGGCGAAGGCAGCCCCCUGGGUCAAGAUUGACGCUCAUGCACGAAAGCGUGGGGAGCAAACAGG
This 253-nucleotide ribosomal RNA is filed under the name uncultured bacterium. RNAcentral describes it as "partial 16S ribosomal RNA". It matches the Rfam family "Bacterial small subunit ribosomal RNA", at positions 524 to 776 of the family's 1533-position model. The record is from RNAcentral.